RNAcentral lists this ribosomal RNA (434 nucleotides) under uncultured bacterium. Its description in RNAcentral is "bacterial SSU rRNA". It matches the Rfam family "Bacterial small subunit ribosomal RNA", at positions 960 to 1392 of the family's 1533-position model. The record is from RNAcentral.
CGCGAAGAACCUUACCUGGGCUUGAUAGUAAGUGACCGCUGGUGAAAGCCAGUUUUCUAGCAAUAGACACAAAGCAAGGUGCUGCACGGCUGUCGUCAGCUCGUGCCGUGAGGUGUUGGGUUAAGUCCCGCAACGAGCGCAACCCCCAUCACUAGUUGCCAUCAGGUAACGCUAGGAACUCUAGUGAAACUGCCGUCGUAAGACGCGAGGAAGGAGGGGAUGAUGUCAAGUCAUCAUGGCCUUUAUGCCCAGGGCUACACACGUGCUACAAUGGGUAGGACAAAGGGUUGCGACCUGGUGACAGGGAGCUAAUCUCAAAAACCUACUCUCAGUUCAGAUCGCAGUCUGCAACUCGACUGCGUGAAGCUGGAAUCGCUAGUAAUCGUAUAUCAGCAAUGAUACGGUGAAUACGUUCCCGGGCCUUGUACACACCG